ACCGCGAUAGCUCAGCUGUUGAGCAUCUGCCGGCUAUGCGGAGUCGCCGGUUCGAUUCCGCUCGCGGCG
This 69-nucleotide transfer RNA is filed under the name Fasciola gigantica. RNAcentral's name for it is "tRNA-Ser". The record is from RNAcentral. Lineage: Eukaryota; Metazoa; Platyhelminthes; Trematoda; Plagiorchiida; Fasciolidae.